Non-coding RNA from Chelonoidis abingdonii (Abingdon island giant tortoise), 208 nucleotides. The record is from RefSeq and is a predicted model, not a curated record. NCBI's taxonomy places the organism in Eukaryota, Metazoa, Chordata, Testudines, Testudinidae.
AGCCUGCCUGGUGGAAGUGCCUGCUGCAGACCCUGGGGUGUGGUUCUGGAGCCCAGCAGCUUCCUGCAGGCUCCGGGAUUGGGCAAGGAGGAGCCCUCCAGCCUCGGAGAUAGCAGCAGCCAAGCUGGAUCUAAGGCAGAGGAGGAGACAGAGCUGUCCCUCUGGGGUUGCACAUGACAGGGUGGGGGAUGGGGGUCACUGGCUGUCA